AGCAGCCGCGGUAAUUCCAGCUCCAAUAGCGUAUAUUAAAGUUGUUGCAGUUAAAAAGCUCGUAGUUGAAUUUCGGGAUUGACACAUCGGUCGUGCCUUAAGGGGUAUGAACUGGUGUAGUCAAUUUCUCACCUUCUGGAGAACCGCGAUGCCCUUAAUUGGGUGUCGCGGGGAACCAGGACCUUUACUUUGAAAAAUUAGAGUGUUUAAAGCAGGCAUUUUGCUUGAAUACAUUAGCAUGGAAUAAUAAAAUAGGACGGCAUGAUUCUAUUUUGUUGGUUUCUAGGAUCACCGUAAUGAUUAAUAGGGAUAGUUGGGGGCAUUAGUAUUCAAUUGUCAGAGGUGAAAUUCUUGGAUUUAUUGAAGACUAACUACUGCGAAAGCAUUUGCCAAGGAUGUUUUCAUUAAUCAAGACGAAAGUUAGGGGAUCGAAGACGAUCAGAUACCGUCGUAGUCUUAACCAUAAACUAUAGCCGACUAGGAAUCAGACGAUGUUAAUUUU
This 502-nucleotide ribosomal RNA is filed under the name uncultured Glomus. RNAcentral's name for it is "SSU rRNA". It matches the Rfam family "Eukaryotic small subunit ribosomal RNA", at positions 569 to 1070 of the family's 1831-position model. Lineage: Eukaryota; Fungi; Glomeromycota; Glomeromycetes; Glomerales; Glomeraceae. The record is from RNAcentral.